CUCUGGGAGCCUCCACAAGCACUUUAGGUUUUCAGAGGCAAAGCUGCCUCCCCAAAUCUCAUGAUUACUUGAGGCCCCUAAGUCCGCCCUUCUCGUUCUCCCAAAGGAGGAAUAAUAUCCACACGGGAGGAUAAGUGAGAGGGAUGCCAUCACUCCAGCCUGUCUUUCAGGACGAAGGAGGCAGGACAGCAUCACCGAGGGAGCCGGGCAGGAAAUGAGGAGCCAUGGGUUCAAGUUCUUGCUCUGCUAACAAGAAAGCAACGGCUUGGAGAUGUGCUGCUCAGAUGUCCUUUCCAGAGAGAACCUACUGUGAGCAGUGGAGUUGGCUGACAGCCCUCAGUAUCUGCCGCUGUGUUCCAGUCCAAAUCAAGAUCUCCCUGGGCAGCUGGCAGCCCACAGUGGUUCCUCGAGCCUGGCCAUCUCUGCCUGGGACCACCCUCACCCUUACAGGCAAUCUGCUUUUAAAGUUCCAAUGCUCAGGCCAAGACUUGCUCAGAGCUGCAGCAAGCGCAGAGCUUCUUCCUCCCCAGUCCUCCUUAGGUGUCUCUCUUCUUAUUUCCCCCAUGGGUGUCAGGCCUGCAAUGCAGCCUGAAGGCUUUCCUGCCCACUUCUGACCCUUUUCUCUUGUAUCUUUCAAGCACGACCCAUAAUAAAUCUCGUAUUCCUGACUCCUGACUCUGAGUGGACCAGAACUCA
Molecule: long non-coding RNA, 696 nt
Organism: Myotis lucifugus (little brown bat)
Lineage: Eukaryota; Metazoa; Chordata; Mammalia; Chiroptera; Vespertilionidae
Exons: 2
Source: RefSeq, a predicted model, not a curated record